GAGUUUGAUCAUGGCUCAGAUUGAACGCUGGCGGCAUGCUUUACACAUGCAAGUCGAACGGCAGCACGGGGGCAACCCUGGUGGCGAGUGGCGAACGGGUGAGUAACACAUCGGAACGUACCCAGUUGUGGGGGAUAACCUACCGAAAGGUAGGCUAAUACCGCAUGAGCUCGAAAGAGGAAAGCGGGGGACCGCAAGGCCUCGCGCGACUGGAGCGGCCGAUGUCCGAUUAGCUAGUUGGUGGGGUAAAGGCUUACCAAGGCGACGAUCGGUAGCUGGUCUGAGAGGAUGAUCAGCCACACUGGGACUGAGACACGGCCCAGACUCCUACGGGAGGCAGCAGUGGGGAAUUUUGGACAAUGGGGGCAACCCUGAUCCAGCCAUGCCGCGUGAGUGAAGAAGGCCUUCGGGUUGUAAAGCUCUUUCGGUGGGAACGAAACGGGCGCGGUGAAUAUCCGCGUUCAAUGACGGUACUCACAGAAGAAGCACCGGCUAACUACGUGCCAGCAGCCGCGGUAAUACGUAGGGUGCGAGCGUUAAUCGGAAUUACUGGGCGU
Molecule: ribosomal RNA, 557 nt
Filed under: uncultured beta proteobacterium
Lineage: Bacteria; Pseudomonadati; Pseudomonadota; Betaproteobacteria
Description: bacterial SSU rRNA
Rfam family: Bacterial small subunit ribosomal RNA
Source: RNAcentral